GUGUUCUCUCUCCAAUCCAACCAAGAACCCUAAUUUUCUUCCCCCAAUUUCUUCUUCCAACCAAGAACCCUAAUUUUCUUCCCCCAAUUUCUUCUUAACAGCUUGCUCCGACGUGGUGGCUCAGAGAGUGGUUCAAAUUCUGGAAGAUUGGCUAGGUUCCAUCAUUAGCAGAAUCAGGAAAUAUGUCUAUCGAAGGAGAUGAACCCGUAAUUCAAAUUGAGGACGAAGUUGAUGAAAGUUCAGUCCCUAGUUCAAAAAGAACAAAAACUUCUAUGGCUUGGGAAUUUUUUGAAAAGUUUUUUGACGAUAAAGGGCUUCCAAAGGCAAAAUGCAAAAAUUGUGAUAAAAUUUACAUGGCUAGAGAUGGUGGUGGCACUUCAAAUUUGAUAAAACAUUCGCUGAGAUGUGUUGGAAGAGGGAAUGGAUCUUCUUAUCCUCCACUUGAUCAAGAAAAGUAUAGGGAAAAGAUUUCUGAGGAAUUGGGAGUUAGAGAAAAAAGUAUUAUCCUUCAUUCAUUGUCCACCACCUCACAGCGGUUUUAAGUUGGCUGAGAAGUUAAUAAGUUUGUUAAAGGAGUGGGGUAUUGAGAAAAAAAUAUUCACAAUUACUUUAGACAAUGCAUCUAACAAUGAUGUUAUGGUGAAUAUAUUGAAGAAACAUUUAUUAUCAGGAUUAGGAUUGAUAGCUGAAGGAACAUAUUUUCAUGUUAGAUGUGGAGCACACAUCUUAAACUUAAUUGUUCAUGAUGGUUUAAAGGUGAUAGAUGGAUCUUUGGAUAAAAUUAGAUUGUGUGUGAAAUACAUAAGAGGCUCAGAGGCUCGAAAAUUAAAGUUUGCAUCUUGUUUAGAGCAACUCUCAAAUGUGACUUCUAAGCAAGUUCGUCAAGACUUGCCUAUUAGGUGGAAUUCCACUUAUCUGA
RNA transcript from Lathyrus oleraceus (garden pea), 919 nucleotides. RefSeq lists it as uncharacterized. Lineage: Eukaryota; Viridiplantae; Streptophyta; Magnoliopsida; Fabales; Fabaceae. The transcript has 4 exons. The record is from RefSeq and is a predicted model, not a curated record.